This 492-nucleotide ribosomal RNA is filed under the name uncultured Bacteroidota bacterium. Its description in RNAcentral is "bacterial SSU rRNA". It matches the Rfam family "Bacterial small subunit ribosomal RNA", at positions 400 to 896 of the family's 1533-position model. Lineage: Bacteria; Pseudomonadati; Bacteroidota. The record is from RNAcentral.
CGUGCAGGAAGAAGGCCUUCUGGGUUGUAAACUGCUUUGCCAGGGGAUAAAAUUCCUUGCGAGGAAAAUUGAAGGCACCUGGUGAAUAAGCCACGGCUAACUACGUGCCAGCAGCCGCGGUAAUACGUAGGUGGCAAGCGUUGUCCGGAUUUAUGGGUUUAAAGGGUGCGUAGGCGGCUUUGUAAGUCGGUGGUGAAAUAUCGCAGCUUAACUGUGAGGGUGCCAUUGAUACUGCAGAGCUUGAGUACAGAUGAGGUAGGCGGAAUUGACGGUGUAGCGGUGAAAUGCUUAGAUAUCGUCAAGAACACCUAUAGCGAAGGCAGCUUACUAGGCUGUAACUGACGCUGAGGCACGAAAGUGUGGGGAUCAAACAGGAUUAGAUACCCUGGUAGUCCACACUGUAAACGUUGAUUACUCGCUGUGUGCGAUAUACAGUACGCGGCCAAGCGAAAGCGAUAGGUAAUCCACCUGGGGAGUACGCCGGCAACGGUG